UAAAUCAGUUAUCGUUUAUUUCAUAGUACCUUACUACUUGGAUAACCGUGGUAAUUCUAGAGCUAAUACAUGCUAAAAACCCCGACUUCGGGAGGGGUGUAUUUAUUAGAUAAAAAACCAAUGCCCUUCGGGGCUCUUUGGUGAUUCAUGAUAACUUAACGGAUCGCAUGGCCUUGCGCCGGCGACGGUUCAUUCAAAUUUCUGCCCUAUCAACUUUCGAUGGUAAGGUAUUGGCUUACCAUGGUUUCAACGGGUAACGGGGAAUUAGGGUUCGAUUCCGGAGAGGGAGCCUGAGAAACGGCUACCACAUCCAAGGAAGGCAGCAGGCGCGCAAAUUACCCAAUCCCGACUCGGGGAGGUAGUGACAAUAAAUACUGAUACAGGGCUCUUUUGGGUCUUGUAAUCGGAAUGAGUACAAUUUAAACCCCUUAACGAGGAACAAUUGGAGGGCAAGUCUGGUGCCAGCAGCCGCGGUAAUUCCAGCUCCAAUAGCGUAUAUUAAAGUUGUUGCAGUUAAAAAGCUCGUAGUUGAACCUUGGGCCUGGCUGGCCGGUCCGCCUCACCGCGUGUACUGGUCCGGCCGGGCCUUUCCUUCUGGAGAGCCGCAUGCCCUUCACUGGGUGUGUCGGGGAACCAGGACUUUUACUUUGAAAAAAUUAGAGUGUUCAAAGCAGGCCUUUGCUCGAAUACGUUAGCAUGGAAUAAUAGAAUAGGACGUGCGGUCCUAUUUUGUUGGUUUCUAGGACCGCCGUAAUGAUUAAUAGGGAUAGUCGGGGGCAUCAGUAUUCAAUUGUCAGAGGUGAAAUUCUUGGAUUUAUUGAAGACUAACUACUGCGAAAGCAUUUGCCAAGGAUGUUUUCAUUAAUCAGUGAACGAAAGUUAGGGGAUCGAAGACGAUCAGAUACCGUCGUAGUCUUAACCGUAAACUAUGCCGACUAGGGAUCGGGCGAUGUUUCUAUCUUGACUCGCUCGGCAC
Molecule: ribosomal RNA, 976 nt
Filed under: Lophiostoma hysterioides
Lineage: Eukaryota; Fungi; Ascomycota; Dothideomycetes; Pleosporales; Lophiostomataceae
Description: SSU rRNA
Rfam family: Eukaryotic small subunit ribosomal RNA
Source: RNAcentral